CAGGAGCAGGCAGCCUGGAGCUUGCAGCCACUGUGUCUCUACAAGAUGAAACGAAGUCUUUCCACUGGGCGCUUCGUCUGCAUGGGGCUCACUGGUUCUCCUUUUGCAGUCACAGACUGCUAUUGCUUCUGAGGAAGGAUCUAGAUGGGGCAUGGGCUUUUGAAGAAAAGAGGGCCAAAACCACCCAAAUGCUGUUCCCAUUGAAACACAGAAGGACCAAGAGUUUAAUGUGAAAAUGAAAAGGAACAGAAUGUUUUGUUUUUCUCUUCUGACUGCUCUCACAAUUGUUAAUGAGAGGAAAAUCUGAAAUGGCAGUUUUGUUGUAAUAUGGGACAAAAAUCUGUAUUGGGAUUUUCCCUAGGACUGCAAUUCUAGUUCCUAGUCAGCUCUGCUAGAAACUCUUCCACCUUGUCUGCUACACUCUUGAUAUGCUGUGUUCUACUACAGAGAUGUUUGUCAGUGACUGUGCUAGUCCUCUGAUAUGCGUGGAUAAUUUCCAUGUGAAUGCGUGUGGUAGUCCCUAUUUUUCCUUCCUCCAUCUAAAUCCUAUGAGAAUAGAACUUCAGCAAUGUGUUGAAUAGUAGCACAGUGUUUCCCAACCUCAUAAUUAGUUCUCCAUAUAAACCUGCUAUGGAAGGAAGCGGUCUGGAUCUAUCACAAACAAGUAGCAGAUAACUUUUUAAAGUCAGGCAAGUUUAAUUUUCUUCUGACCAGUCUGUUGCAAAUAUUUUUAAGGUGGUUUUCAACUCCUGAGUGCAACCUUUUAUUCCUGCAGAAAGAGCUUUUAUAUAAAAAUCUUACUAGAAUGGUUCCAAAUAUUUUUCCCAUUUUAAUUAUUUUUUUGGUUAAAACUGUAUUCUGGACAUAUUCCUUUACUGCAGAUAUAUUAGGGCAUUAGACGACUAUUCCAGAAGCGCAAAUAAAAGUGAUUCUAAAGAUCUAUUUGCUAUUUAAAAUCAUUUGUGGUUGAAGUGAAGUAGGAGGUAAGUUGUAUUAGUAAAAGUGGGAAAUGUUUAUAUAUUUGAGUUCAUCUACUGUAAAUGUCAGGCUUUUGAAAGAAGAAUGAGCUGCAUUGCAACCCAGAUAAUGGGUUGCUUUUAAUUUAUUACUUCAGGUAAAGAGCUAACCAAAGUACUUUGCUGCAGCAAGUUGAGGGUUUUUUAUUCAAUACAUACAUCCUGGCCGGAUAUCUACACGGAAUUGACAAAACACCCCCAAAACAUCCGGUUCCAGAAGCAGUACAGUAUUGAGUAAAACCUGGGAUGGAACAUCUAUGGUUAGUCUUUUAUUUGGUUGUUCCAAAUGAAUAUCUGUAAUAUAGAUUUUUCAAAGAACUGUAGUUUUUUUAAAAAAAAAAG
Cygnus olor (mute swan) is the source of this 1358-nucleotide long non-coding RNA. RefSeq lists it as uncharacterized. The transcript is spliced from 3 exons. The record is from RefSeq and is a predicted model, not a curated record. Lineage: Eukaryota; Metazoa; Chordata; Aves; Anseriformes; Anatidae.